RNAcentral lists this small RNA (686 nucleotides) under Pan troglodytes (chimpanzee). RNAcentral's name for it is "processed transcript". The record is from RNAcentral. Lineage: Eukaryota; Metazoa; Chordata; Mammalia; Primates; Hominidae.
AUAACUUAAGGUCUUCAUGUGAACUCUACAUUUUUCUGCUUUUUAAAAAAUAGCCAUUAUCCUAAAACAAACAAAAAUCCUGUAUUAACAUCCAAGCCAGAGCAGUCAUGAAUAGUUUUAUUUGCUAACAAAUAAGCUCACUCAAAUCACAUUAAAAAUCACUCAAGGAGAAUAAUUUAUAGGUAUUAUUUUUCUACCUUUAAUUUUUAUUUUUCUGUCUUUCAAUUUCUAUUUGUUCCUUUCCUAAGCAUAAGUGCUCUUUUGGAGGUUUAAUCAGUCAACCAGUAUUUAUUGGAAGUAUUUUGUAUGGAAAGCACUGAGCAAGCUGUUGUGAGAUUCCUAAAGUAUUUUAAGAUGAGGUUUCUGCCCUAUCUACUUAGAGAGCGUUCUUACUUCCGUACUCUUCUCAUGUAUGGGUUCCACUUUCUGGUGUGGUUCCUUUGUGUCAAAGGAAUCAGGGACACACAGUGUGGGUUCAAAUUAUUUACUCGAGAAGCAGCUUCACGGACGUUUUCAUCUCUACACGUUGAACGAUGGGCAUUUGAUGUAGAACUACUGUACAUAGCACAGUUCUUUAAAAUUCCAAUAGCAGAAAUUGCUGUCAACUGGACAGAAAUUGAAGGUUCUAAAUUAGUUCCAUUCUGGAGCUGGCUACAAAUGGGUAAAGACCUACUUUUUAUACGACU